RNAcentral lists this ribosomal RNA (512 nucleotides) under Aquiloeurycea cafetalera (coffee grove salamander). RNAcentral's name for it is "partial 16S ribosomal RNA". It matches the Rfam family "Bacterial large subunit ribosomal RNA", at positions 1819 to 2597 of the family's 2925-position model. Lineage: Eukaryota; Metazoa; Chordata; Amphibia; Caudata; Plethodontidae. The record is from RNAcentral.
CGCCUUUUGAAUUAUAUACAUAAAAGGUCCUGCCUGCCCAGUGACUUGUUUUUAACGGCCGCGGUAUCAUGACCGUGCAAAGGUAGCGUAAUCACUUGUCUUUUAAAUAAAGACCAGUAUGAAUGGCAAGACGAAAGCCUAACUGUCUCCCUAGAUUUGUCAAUAAAAUUGAUCUUCCCGUGCAGAAGCGGGAAUAAAUAUAUAAGACGAGAAGACCCUGUGGAGCUUCAAACUUAAGCUAACAACCACAAAUGCCUUAGCACCCAGUUUUAGGUUGGGGCGACCACGAGGUAAAACAUAACCCUCAAGAUAAACAAAGAAAGACACUUCAAAUAAAUUCAUAAUAUAUUGACCCAAUAAUUGAUCAACGAACCAAGUUACCCCAGGGAUAACAGCGCAAUCUACUCAAAGAGCCCUUAUCGACGAGUAGGUUUACGACCUCGAUGUUGGAUCAGGACUCCCCAAUAACGCAACAGUUAUUAAAGGUUCGUUUGUUCAACGAUUAAAGUCCU